AGAGUUUGAUCCUGGCUCAGAGCGAACGCUGGCGGCAGGCCUAACACAUGCAAGUCGAGCGCCCCGCAAGGGGAGCGGCGGACGGGUGAGUAACACGUGGGAACGUGCCCUUCGGUUCGGGAUAACCUCGGGAAACUGAGGCUAACACCGGAUACGCCCUAACGGGGAAAGGUUACGCCGAAGGAGCGGCCCGCGUCGGAUUAGGUAGUUGGUGAGGUAAAGGCUCACCAAGCCUACGAUCCGUAGCUGGUCUGAGAGGAUGAUCAGCCACACUGGGACUGAGACACGGCCCAGACUCCUACGGGAGGCAGCAGUGGGGAAUCUUGCGCAAUGGGCGAAAGCCUGACGCAGCCAUGCCGCGUGAAUGACGAAGGUCUUAGGAUUGUAAAAUUCUUUCAGCGGGGACGAUAAUGACGGUACCCGCAGAAGAAGCCCCGGCUAACUUCGUGCCAGCCGCCGCGGUAAUUC
This 468-nucleotide ribosomal RNA is filed under the name uncultured bacterium. RNAcentral describes it as "bacterial SSU rRNA". It matches the Rfam family "Bacterial small subunit ribosomal RNA", at positions 8 to 526 of the family's 1533-position model. The record is from RNAcentral.